Small nucleolar RNA from Sorex araneus (European shrew), 112 nucleotides. NCBI's taxonomy places the organism in Eukaryota, Metazoa, Chordata, Mammalia, Eulipotyphla, Soricidae. The record is from Ensembl.
AUGCUGCCUUUCAGCCCUGACAUGCCUACACAUGGCCCGGGGGAGGCUGCAGCACCGGAGCACCGGCUCCUGCAUAACUGGGGCCACCAGCCCCCCUCCAUGAACAACACUC